Molecule: ribosomal RNA, 253 nt
Filed under: uncultured bacterium
Lineage: Bacteria
Description: partial 16S ribosomal RNA
Rfam family: Bacterial small subunit ribosomal RNA
Source: RNAcentral
UACGGGGGGGGCAAGCGUUGUUCGGAAUUACUGGGCGUAAAGGGCGCGUAGGCGGCUUAUCAAGUCAGGCGUGAAAUUCCCGGGCUCAACCUGGGGGCUGCGCUUGAUACUGAUGAGCUUGAAUGCGGGAGAGGAUAGUGGAAUUCCCAGUGUAGAGGUGAAAUUCGUAGAUAUUGGGAAGAACACCGGUGGCGAAGGCGGCUCACUGGCUCGUAUCUGACGCUCAGGCGCGACAGCGCGGGGAUCAAACAGG